GCUGGGCGCGGUGGUGUGCGCCUGUAAUCCCAGCUACUCAGGAGGCUGAGGUGGGAGGAUUGCUUGAGCCCAGGAGGUAGAGGUUGCAGUGAGCUGAGGUUGCACCACUGCACUCCAGCCUGGGCAACAGAGCAAGAUUCCAUCUCAA
Molecule: signal recognition particle RNA, 148 nt
Filed under: Chlorocebus sabaeus (green monkey)
Lineage: Eukaryota; Metazoa; Chordata; Mammalia; Primates; Cercopithecidae
Description: Metazoan signal recognition particle RNA
Rfam family: Metazoan signal recognition particle RNA
About the family: The signal recognition particle (SRP) is a universally conserved ribonucleoprotein.
Source: Rfam by way of RNAcentral